AAGUCGUAACAAGGUUUCCGUAGGUGAACCUGCGGAAGGAUCAUUAACACGUAUCCAAACGUUAAAACCCCCCCCGUGAACCUUCAGCCUGCUCUUGUAACCCGCGUAGUUCGCAAUCUCUGAUAAGUCAUAGCCCGGAAAGUUGUAGUGAUUCAGAGACCUCUGGCUACGUGCGAACAUUGGAAUCAAUGUAAUACAUUGGGUAAAAAAACCGAACAACUGUUAACAAUGGAUACCUUGGUUCUC
Molecule: unclassified non-coding RNA, 246 nt
Filed under: fungal sp.
Lineage: Eukaryota; Fungi
Description: partial internal transcribed spacer region
Rfam family: Eukaryotic small subunit ribosomal RNA (bases 1-46)
Source: RNAcentral